CCUACGGGAGGCACCAUUGGGGAAUCUUGGACAAUGGGCGMDCAAGCCUGAUCCAGCAAUACCGCGUGUGUGAAGAAGGCCUGCGGGUUGUAAAGCACUUUCAGUAGGGAGGAAAUACUUAAGGUUAAUACCCUUGAGAGUUGACGUUACCUACAGAAGAAGCACCGGCUAACUCUGUGCCAGCAGCCGCGGUAAUACAGAGGGUGCAAGCGUUAAUCGGAGUUACUGGGCGUAAAGCGUGCGUAGGCGGAUGCUUAAGUCGGAUGUGAAAGCCCCGGGCUUAACCUGGGAACUGCAUUCGAUACUGGGUGUCUAGAGUAUGGUAGAGGAAAGUGGAAUUUCCGGUGUAACGGUGAAAUGCGUAGAUAUCGGAAAGAACACCAGCGGCGAAGGCGGCUUUCUGGACCAAUACUGACGCUGAGGUACUAAAGCGUGGGGAGCAAACAGGAUUAGAUACCCUAGUAGUCC
Molecule: ribosomal RNA, 468 nt
Filed under: uncultured bacterium
Lineage: Bacteria
Description: bacterial SSU rRNA
Rfam family: Bacterial small subunit ribosomal RNA
Source: RNAcentral